GAUGAACGCUAGCGGGAGGCUUAACACAUGCAAGUCGAGGGGCAGCAUAGGGUAGCAAUACUCUGAUGGCGACCGGCAAACGGGUGAGUAACGCGUAUGCAACCUACCCUGUACAGGGGGAUAACCCGGAGAAAUUCGGACUAAUAUCCCGUAAUAAUAUCCGGAGGCAUCUUUGGAUAUUAAAGUUCCGACGGUACGGGAUGGGCAUGCGUAACAUUAACUGGUUGGUAAGGUAACGGCUUACCAAGGCUAUGAUGUUUAGGGGUCCUGAGAGGGUGGUCCCCCACACUGGUACUGAGACACGGACCAGACUCCUACGGGAGGCAGCAGUGAGGAAUAUUGGUCAAUGGGCGCAAGCCUGAACCAGCCAUCCCGCGUGCAGGAAGACGGCCCUAUGGGUUGUAAACUGCUUUUCCAGGGAGAGAAACUUACGCACGUGUUGCGUGACUGACGGUACCCUGGGAAUAAGCAUCGGCUAACUCCGUG
This 486-nucleotide ribosomal RNA is filed under the name uncultured bacterium. Its description in RNAcentral is "bacterial SSU rRNA". It matches the Rfam family "Bacterial small subunit ribosomal RNA", at positions 28 to 507 of the family's 1533-position model. The record is from RNAcentral.